GCAUUAAGAAUACAAUAAAAUCAAGAGAAAUGUCAAGAAGAAAAUAAUGAUGGAUCAAGAAUCAUAAAAUUAAAAAAAAAUGUGGAAUGCCUUGAAGACUAUAUUGAAGCCCAACAUGAAUUUGACCAUUCAAUUUUAUAAACUAAAUGACUUUUCAUGUAGAGUGACUUGUUUAGUUUUCAUAUAGCUUGAACAGUUGUGAUAAUAACUCCACUUCCGAGCUAUAUCCCACAGUGUUUAAACUGGCAGCAAAAUCUAGCUCCUCUAUGGUAGGUUUUAAAAUCCUUAUAUUCAUAAUUCAAACAUUUCAUUUGACUACCGCAUAUACAUCAUUCCCUGCACGCUUAAAAUGACAAAAAGGCUAGCCA
This 368-nucleotide unclassified non-coding RNA is filed under the name Hevea brasiliensis (rubber tree). The record is from RNAcentral. Lineage: Eukaryota; Viridiplantae; Streptophyta; Magnoliopsida; Malpighiales; Euphorbiaceae.